Molecule: ribosomal RNA, 504 nt
Filed under: uncultured bacterium
Lineage: Bacteria
Description: partial 16S ribosomal RNA
Rfam family: Bacterial small subunit ribosomal RNA
Source: RNAcentral
GAUAAACGCUAGCGGCAGGCUUAACACAUGCAAGUCGAGGGGCAGCAUAGAUUGUAGCAAUACAAUUGGUGGCGACCGGCGCACGGGUGCGUAACGCGUAUGCAACCUACCCGUCACAGGGGGAUAAUCCGGAGAAAUCUGGUCCAAUACCCCAUAACAUAUGGAUCGGCAUCGGUUCAUGUUGAAAUUUUCGGAGGUGACGGAUGGGCAUGCGUAGCAUUAGCUUGUUGGUGAGGUAACGGCUCACCAAGGCGACGAUGCUUAGGGGGACUGAGAGGUUUUCCCCCCAAACUGGUACUGAGACAAGGACCAGACUCCUACGGGAGGAAGCAGUGAGGAGUAUUGGUCAAUGGGCGCAAGCCUGAACCAGCCAUGCCGCGUGCAGGAUGACGGCUCUAUGAGUUGUAAACUGCUUUUGUACGAGGGUAAAGUGGGUUACGUGUAACCUUUUGAAAGUAUCGUACGAAUAAGGAUCGGCUAACUCCGUGCCAGCCGCCGCGGUAA